AGAGACUGCCGCCGUAAGGUGUGAGGAAGGUGGGGAUGACGUCAAAUCAGCACGGCCCUUACGUCCGGGGCUACACACGUGUUACAAUGGCCGGUACAGAGCGAGGGUGUCCCGCAAGGUGCAUCAAACCGCGAAAACCGGUCCCAGUUCGGACUGGGGUCUGCAACCCGACCCCACGAAGCUGGAUUCGCUAGUAAUCGCGCAUCAGCCAUGACGCGGUGAAUACGUUCCCGGGCCUUGUACACACCGCCCGUCAAGCCAUGAAAGCCGGGAGUGCCUGAAGUC
This 285-nucleotide ribosomal RNA is filed under the name uncultured Prevotella sp. RNAcentral's name for it is "partial 16S ribosomal RNA". It matches the Rfam family "Bacterial small subunit ribosomal RNA", at positions 1144 to 1428 of the family's 1533-position model. The record is from RNAcentral. Lineage: Bacteria; Pseudomonadati; Bacteroidota; Bacteroidia; Bacteroidales; Prevotellaceae.